GACCACGUGGCCUAAUGGAUAAAGCAUCAGACUUCGAAUCAGAAGAUUGAGGGUUCGAGUCCCUUCGAGGUUU
This 73-nucleotide transfer RNA is filed under the name Hippoglossus stenolepis (Pacific halibut). RNAcentral's name for it is "tRNA-Arg". It matches the Rfam family "tRNA". From Rfam's summary of the family: Transfer RNA (tRNA) molecules are approximately 80 nucleotides in length. Their secondary structure includes four short double-helical elements and three loops (D, anti-codon, and T loops). Further hydrogen bonds mediate the characteristic L-shaped molecular structure. tRNAs have two regions of fundamental functional importance: the anti-codon, which is responsible for specific mRNA codon recognition, and the 3' end, to which the tRNAs corresponding amino acid is attached (by aminoacyl-tRNA synthetases). tRNAs cope with the degeneracy of the genetic code in two manners: having more than one tRNA (with a specific anti-codon) for a particular amino acid; and 'wobble' base-pairing, i.e. permitting non-standard base-pairing at the 3rd anti-codon position. The record is from RNAcentral. Lineage: Eukaryota; Metazoa; Chordata; Actinopteri; Pleuronectiformes; Pleuronectidae.